AGUACCUGAAACCGUUGGUCUACAAACAGUCAAAGCAGACUUGUUCUGCGAUGGCGUGCCUUUUGAAGAAUGAGCCAACGAGUUACGGUGUGUGGCAAGGUUAACCCGAUGAGGGGAAGCCGGAGCGAAAGCGAGUCUGAACAGGGCGUUCAGUCGCAUGCCGUAGACCCGAAGCCGAGUGAGCUAUCCAUGGGCAGUGUGAAGCGGAGGUAAGACUCUGUGGAGGCGCGAACCGACUUCAGUUGAAAAUGGAGCGGAUGACCUGUGGAUAGGGGUGAAAGGCCAAUCAAACUCGGUGAUAGCUGGUUCUCCGCGAAAUGCAUUUAGGUGCAGCGUCGUGCGUUCAACGAUGGGGGUAGAGCACUGAAUGGGCUAGGGGUCCUACAAGACUACCGACCCCAAUCAAACUCCGAAUACCAUCGUUCCAGAGCACGGCAGUGAGACCUCGGGGGAUGAGCUUCGAGGUCGAGAGGAAAACAGCCCAGACCGCCGGCUAAGGUCCCAAAAUCUGAACUAAGUGGUAAACGAUGUGAGAUUGCGAAGACAGCCAGGAGGUUGGCUUGGAAGCAGCCAUCCUUGAAAGAGUGCGUAACAGCUCACUGGUCGAGUGAUCUUGCGCGGACAAUGUAACGGGGCUCAAGUUCAGUACCGAAGCCGCGGAUGCGACUCUUUGAGUCGUGUGGUAGCGGAGCGUCGAGCGUGCAGCGAAGCGGCGGGACAACCCAGCCGUGGGGCGCGUUCGAGUGCGAAUGUUGGCAUGAGUAGCGAAUGAGGGGUGAGAACCCCCUCCGCCGUAUGUCCAAGGGUUCCUGGGCGAGGCCAAUCCUCCCAGGGUGAGUCGGGAGCUAAGGCGAGGCCGAGAGGCGUAGUCGAUGCACAACUGGUUGAUAUUCCAGUACCACCAUGUUCGCGUCCGUCCCAAUACUCUGUUGCUAAGGGGCUGUGUUGACUUCGGUCAACGCGAACCGACCCACAUUGUUGCGGGAAGCUGUAGGGGGACGCAGGAAGGUAGAUGAACCCGGUGAAUGGUAGAACCGGGGUAAGCGUGUAGGAGGAGGACCAGGUAAAUCCGGGCCUCAUAAACUCUGAGACGUGAUACCGAGCCGCUUCAGGCGAAGUCACUGAUCCUAUGCUGCCUAGAAAAGCCCAGCAGCGAGUUGACAUGGUGCCCGUACCCCAAACCAACACAGGUGGACAGGUAGAGCAUACCAAGGCGAGUGGGAUAACUAUGGUUAAGGAACUCGGCAAAUUGCCUCCGUAACUUCGGGAGAAGGAGGACCCCAGUAGCGUGAUGAGACUUGCUCUCUGAGCGUGAAGGGGUGGCACAAAAUUGAGGGAAGCGGCUGUUUACCAAAAACACAGUAGCGUGCUAAGCCGUAAGGCGCUGUAUACGCUGUGACUCCUGCCCGGUGCUGGAAGGUUACGGGGAUGGGUUAGUCCUUCGGGACGAAGCUCUGAACCUAAGCCCCAGUAAACGGCGGCCGUAACUAUAACGGUCCUAAGGUAGCGAAAUUCCUUGUCGGGUAAGUUCCGACCUGCACGAAUGGAGUAACGACUUCCCUACUGUCUCAACCAUAGACCCAGCGAAAUUGAAGUACGAGUAAAGAUGCUCGUUAGCUGCAGAAGGACGGAAUGACCCCGUGGACCUUUACUAUAACUUGAUGUUGUGUUUUGUCAUAUGUUGUU
RNAcentral lists this ribosomal RNA (1686 nucleotides) under metagenome. RNAcentral's name for it is "bacterial LSU rRNA". It matches the Rfam family "Bacterial large subunit ribosomal RNA", at positions 545 to 2138 of the family's 2925-position model. The record is from RNAcentral.